Molecule: ribosomal RNA, 561 nt
Filed under: uncultured bacterium
Lineage: Bacteria
Description: partial 16S ribosomal RNA
Rfam family: Bacterial small subunit ribosomal RNA
Source: RNAcentral
UGGGGAAUAUUGGACAAUGGGCGCAAGCCUGAUCCAGCCAUGCCGCGUGAGUGAUGAAGGCCUUAGGGUUGUAAAGCUCUUUCGCCGGUGAAGAUAAUGACGGUAACCGGAGAAGAAGCCCCGGCUAACUUCGUGCCAGCAGCCGCGGUAAUACGAAGGGGGCUAGCGUUGCUCGGAAUCACUGGGCGUAAAGCGCACGUAGGCGGAUCGUUAAGUCAGGGGUGAAAUCCUGGAGCUCAACUCCAGAACUGCCCUUGAUACUGGCGAUCUCGAGUUCGAGAGAGGUUGGUGGAACUCCGAGUGUAGAGGUGAAAUUCGUAGAUAUUCGGAAGGACACCAGUGGCGAAGGCGGCCAACUGGCUCGAUACUGACGCUGAGGUGCGAAAGCGUGGGGAGCAAAACAGGAUUAGAUACCCUGGUAGUCCACGCCGUAAACGAUGGAUGCUAGCCGUUGGGGGGUUUACCUCUCAGUGGCGCAGCUAACGCCUUAAGCAUCUCGCCUGGGGAGUACGGUCGCAAGAUUAAAACUCAAAUGAAUUGACGGGGUCAUAGCUGUUUCCU